Non-coding RNA from Cricetulus griseus (Chinese hamster), 3269 nucleotides. NCBI's taxonomy places the organism in Eukaryota, Metazoa, Chordata, Mammalia, Rodentia, Cricetidae. The record is from RefSeq and is a predicted model, not a curated record.
CUCUAUGUAGCCCUGGCUGGCCCAGAAUUUGCUAUGUAGACCAGUCUGGCCUCAAAAUCACAGAGAUCCACCUGCUUCCUCAGUAGUGGAAAUAAAGAUUAGAACCACUGAAGUUGGAAAAAGAAGGCCAGAACAAUUGCCAAAAGCCCCAGGAUUUUGAGCAGGAAGGAUGCUGGAUUGUUGGAUGAAGGCUUCAGACUGCGGGUCUUUAAGGGCUUCAGGAUCCUCUGCUUCUGGGUCUCAAGUCAGUGUUGCAAGAGUAUUGAUUACUGUCAAACUCAGAACUUAGUUUCACCUCAACAAAAAUGCAAUCAGAUCCCAGCACCGGCUCGGUGGUAAAUGAGGUCUUUGCUGAACAAAACUGAACCCCAGAAGCACGAAACAAACAAACAAACAAACAAACAAACAAAAAAACAAACAAACCUUUUCAAGGAAGGUGAAGUGCUGUACAAAUGAGAAGAGACAAACCUUUAAAUUUUUUUUUUUAAACUUUGUCCCAGUGAGAUGACUCAGCAGGUAGAGGCAUGCUUGCUAGUGUGCAGACCUGACAAUUUGAGCUUUAUCUCCGGGUCCCACAAGGUGGCAGCAGAGAACCACCUGCCCAUAGGGUAGAAGUCCUUUGGUCUCCGCCACAGAUGGGCCUCCCCUCCAAUAAGCACAGUUUUUAAAAUGAAGGAAAGAAUGUAGGAGACGCUGCUUGGUGGAGCAGCCCACUCACCUUUGAAAACCCGUGUUGCCCAACGCGCCUGAAGCUCCACAGUUGGGAAGAUGGAUCCCAGAGGCUGGAUGAGACCCAAGCAUGCAAGAGUUGGCUUCUCCAGGUGAGGCGGGAACAUGGAUUUGUACAGCGAGACCCUAUUAUCCUCCACUUUCACAAGCGAAUCUUCAAGGAAAGGAAAGGAGAAAGUGUAGCCUGUGGCAAAGACAAUGACAUCAAUGUCCUCCUCCACCGUGCCAUCGUCAAAAACCGCAGCAGUCUCCGUGAGCUCUUUGACUCUUGUUUUCACCUUGAUGGCUCCAUACAGCACACGGCUGGGGAGAUCGUCGUUUAGCACAGGUUCUUUCAUAAGGUAUCUGAGGCACAAAAGGAAAGAACACACUCAGCGCGUUCUUCGACUGAGGAAUCUUUAACCCACUCGACGUUUAGGGGUAGCUCUGAAAAAUACAGCAGUUUCCCAAAUAGCCAUACAAUUCUAACUCAACUGUUUUGUCCACCCCAGACUUUGUCACUGGCCUCAUUUAAUAUCAACAAUCUCUUCCCUUGAUAAACAAAGAAAGGCAAGUAGAUGGCAAAAGUAAAAAAAGACAAUCUGGAGACAGCAGUAUCUCCACAGGGGCUCAGAUAUGACGUCAGCACCCAUUGUUAAUCUUUGAACUUGCUGGCAAUUGUUACCUUCUGGUAUCUCUAUCACUUUUUAUUCUGUCUACUUUUCACUAUUUGGUAGUCUCAUUUAAUCUCUACCCAAUGAUAAAUAAAGGAAAACAUAUUACAUUAGCACUGAGAGCUACUGUGGAUCAGUGUGAGAAUCAAUGCGUAAAAUGAAAAUUGCUGACAUCUACUGACCCCCAUAUCUAUAGAAACUCUGUUUGUGGUGGCAUGGAUGGCGGAGCUAAAGUCUGGUUGUAUUUUUGCAGUUGUUGGUUUGUAAACCAUUUUCUUCUCUUUUAAAAAUAAGGCAACAUAUGACAUAUGUGCUGGAGUCUUAAUUCAGCAUAAUGGAGCAUCUAAGAUUCCAAAUAUCUUCUCCCCUCCUCUGGGGAGGGAGACUGUUUAUCAAGUGAAGAAAGGCAAACAUCCACCAUGUUUACUUGUGCUUACAGUAUCCAAGAUGUGUGACUUUGAUACCAGCAAAUAUUUGUCUUUUGGCCACAAGAAAGUAUAUGUUCACAUGGGAACAGCCUUCAGCGGAUAUGGACAGCAACGGCUGACUUACCAGAUGAAGAGCUAGCUUUUCCUAUCACAGUGCUUCUACCAUCUUCUUAAGUAUUAUUAUAAAGACACUCAGUAUGAAUUUGGAAUUAAGACCCCGGGACCAAUACAAUUACACAUCCUGUUGGGUUAUAGCUUGAACUACCAUGCUAGCAAAUCGGAUCUUUGCAAAGAGAGGCACCAUCAGACAACCUUGCCUGCAAUAAGCGUACCACAAAAAGAAAAAUAACACUACUUGUUUUGAGGCACCAGACCAUAAUUUUCAUGGUUGAACCAUCGAUUCAUUUGCUGUUCCAUCAUCCACUUGACGACUGUGCGUGGCAGGACAUUUCGGAGCAUAGUGCUAAAUCUAGUGUGGAACACCAUGUCCCAAGGGUAGCCAUCUUCAGAGAUUCGGCUCAUGACCCAGGCACCAUGUCUGGUGCUGAUAAACACCUGGUGAACAGAAAGGAGUGCAACUGAAAUAUGGGCUUUGGCCUUUUGGGAGGACUCUCUUGUACAGUGCAAGAUAAGCAAAAGCAUCGCACCUGCGAGGCCUUCUUACUCAGUUCAGAGGCAAUGUCUACGGCUGAGUUGCCUAUUCCAACAACCAGGAUGCGUUUCCCCUCAAACCCAGCUGGGUGUUUGUAUUGACGGCUAUGGAAAUACUGGCCUUUGAACCGCUCGAUACCUUCAGGAGGAAGAAAGGGGAAACUGUGAACUUCCAAAAAAUUCUGCCUGCCCAUCUAAACUCCAUGCAAGAUUCCUGGAAGCCCACUCCCACAGGCUGAGAAGCCCCGUAGACUCACCUGGAAAUGACUUCAGUGGCAGGCAAACACAGAGGAUAUCCUUAGAAGACUGUCAUUCACAGGAUGGCUCUACCAGGAAUUGGAGGGGGAACCACAGGAGCAUCCUGCCUUGAAAUCCUGCCUGACUCUGCUUGAUGAUGGAGACUGUAACCUAUAGGCUGAAAUGAACCCUUUCCUCCUGAAGUUGGUUUCAAUCAGUGUUUUAUCAUAGAAAUAGGAAGCAAACGAAGCCACCAACCAGAUGACAAACCUGAUUUUUAAUGUUCACAAUUGGGCCUUGCUAAAAAUCCCAUAAAGCUUAUGUUAUGAUUGAGUUAAUAUUGUCUUCUAAAGUCAUACUCUGUACGAUGUCCUUCAUGUAAAUUUAUGUAAAUAAAUAGCUAAGACUGGUGAUCAGAGACUGAAUAAACCUAUGACCAGAGAUGCUUUUAUUAUAAAAUUUAAAUAAUGGUGCCUAAGAACUCUUCAGUGGAUGCUUCUGCGUAUACAAAGACUAAGCUAUCAUCCAGAGAAAGAGUAAUUUCCAUUUGACUAUGCAGUAGAAUGGCUGU